RNAcentral lists this ribosomal RNA (323 nucleotides) under Penicillium sp. Its description in RNAcentral is "partial large subunit ribosomal RNA". It matches the Rfam family "Eukaryotic large subunit ribosomal RNA", at positions 332 to 676 of the family's 3401-position model. The record is from RNAcentral. Lineage: Eukaryota; Fungi; Ascomycota; Eurotiomycetes; Eurotiales; Aspergillaceae.
UAGCCAUAGCGAACAAGUAGAGUGACGAAAGAUGAAAAGCACUUUGAAAAGAGAGUUAACAGCACGUGAAAUUGUUGAAAGGGAAGCGCUUGCGACCAGACUCGCCCGCGGGGUUCAGCCGGCACUCGUGCCGGUGUACUUCCCCGCGGGCGGGCCAGCGUCGGUUUGGGCGGCCGGUCAAAGGCCUCUGGAAGGUAACGCCUCUCGGGGCGUCUUAUAGCCAGGGGUGCCAUGCGGCCUGCCCGGACCGAGGAACGCGCUUCGGCUCGGACGCUGGCAUAAUGGUCGUAAGCGACCCGUCUUGAAACACGGACCAAGAGUUA